UCAUUUUGGAAAAAUACCUGGUUAGAGUCUGUUCUGAUGGAAAUGGGACCAGGGACCAGCUGGGUGCCCUUUCUGACCAACCAAAUUAGCUUCUACCUCAAAUUUUCCAGUGCAAAAAUGGAAUCAACAUCCUUCAGACUCUGAAAAAUAAUUGCUUCUUAGUUAUUUACAAAGAUGGAUUGCUCUUCAAUGUUUGGAAGCGGGAAACCUCAGGACAAACCAGUUGACUGCGUGCAAAUGCCUUCUCUCUUGGAAUUGUCCCAUGGCUAUUGGGCUAUAGGAGUUACUGCCCAGAGGGCUGAAUAUACGGUAGAUACUGGCAAGGAACAAUUUCUUAAUUCCCUGGAAUUUGAGAUGACCAGGAAGGAGUGAUACAGAGGGUUUUGACAGCAAAGCCUAAAUGAGGAAGAGAAGAGAGGAUGCUACUCAUGACUGCAGAUCAGGUGUUGCUACUGCCAAGAGCCUCCUGGGAAGUACAACUUGCUCCCAUCAGCAGAGUAACUUUGAGAAGGGAAUGCAGAAAGGAGAACGGCACCGAUACAUUGCUUAGAAAAGAUGACAAACGGAAGAGAAAAGGCACCAGAAGGUGGGGCAGUAACCAUAGGCCAUCCAUCUUUUCUCACAUAAACAAAUCAGUUAUCGUCAAGCCUAUGACUUCAACCUCAUCAGUUUUCUGUAUACAUUUUGGAAAAAUGGCUCGGUUUUGAAUGGGGUAUGUGGGGAUGGGAAUGGUGGCUAGAAAUUUGUAUUUGGAAAUGUGAUACAAUGCUUAUCUAAAAAAACAAAACAAAACAUUGCCCCUAAAAGUAUUCCCCCUGCUUUUGAUAAUCAUGUGUAAUAAUCGUAUGAUAUAUGAGAAAUAGAAUCAUGUGUCAUAAAACGAGUAUUUUAUUUGGCUUAAGUUUUUAUUUCAUAAACUUAAACCUCUCCAAAAUAAAAUAAUCCGCUGUUAAAAAUCUGCCCACUAGAUGGCUGU
Non-coding RNA from Leptonychotes weddellii (Weddell seal), 976 nucleotides. The record is from RefSeq and is a predicted model, not a curated record. NCBI's taxonomy places the organism in Eukaryota, Metazoa, Chordata, Mammalia, Carnivora, Phocidae.